This 379-nucleotide ribosomal RNA is filed under the name uncultured eukaryote. RNAcentral's name for it is "partial 18S ribosomal RNA". It matches the Rfam family "Eukaryotic small subunit ribosomal RNA", at positions 592 to 976 of the family's 1831-position model. The record is from RNAcentral.
CAAUAGCGUAUAUUUAAGUUGUUGCAGUUAAAAAGCUCGUAGUUGGAUUUUGGGUCGGGGGCACCGGUCCGCCGUUCCGGUGUGCACUGGUGGCCCCUUCCUUUCUGCCGGGGACGUGCGUCGCACUUAAUUGGGUGGCGUUCGGAGUCGGCGUUGUUACUUUGAAAAAAUUAGAGUGUUCAAAGCAAGCCAUCGCUCUGAAUACAUUAGCAUGGAAUAACAUGAUAGGACUCCGGUCUUAUUUUGUUGGUUUCCGAGACUGGAGUAAUGAUUAAGAGGGACAGUCGGGGGCAUCCGUAUUUCAUUGUCAGAGGUGAAAUUCUUGGAUUUAUGAAAGACGAACUUCUGCGAAAGCAUUUACCAAGGAUGUUUUCAUUAA